RNAcentral lists this long non-coding RNA (332 nucleotides) under Elaeis guineensis (African oil palm). RNAcentral's name for it is "long non-coding RNA (EGUI_LNC080367)". The record is from RNAcentral. Lineage: Eukaryota; Viridiplantae; Streptophyta; Magnoliopsida; Arecales; Arecaceae.
CUCUCUCUCUCCUUCAUCUUCUUUCCUUCCUUUAAGGUAGUGCAAAGGCCCUCCCUGUUUCUUUUCUUUCCUAGCAUUGGGAUCAGGAUGUUUGCUAGCCCUUCUCAGUAGUGGGCUUGCCACUGGAAGCCCCUCUUCCUUCCCUCUCUCUCAACUUCUCAUAUUUUGGAUGCCGGAUGCUGGUUGCCUUCUCUGUGCUUCUCUCCCUUUUUCCAAUGCUAAUGGUGUUGUGGCCGGCACCCACUCUUCCCCGAUUGUCAGAUUUCUGCUUCUUUUUUGGUGCCGUGCCUAGACGAGGCAUGAAAAUCCUUCUCAUUUCUCUCUCCUCUCUU